RNAcentral lists this ribosomal RNA (253 nucleotides) under uncultured bacterium. RNAcentral describes it as "partial 16S ribosomal RNA". It matches the Rfam family "Bacterial small subunit ribosomal RNA", at positions 524 to 776 of the family's 1533-position model. The record is from RNAcentral.
GACGUAGGUGGCGAGCGUUAUCCGGAUUUACUGGGCGUAAAGCGCGUGCAGGCGGUUCGGCAAGUCGGGCGUGAAAUCUCCUGGCUCAACUGGGAGGGGUCGUCCGAAACUACCGGACUUGAGGGCAGUAGAGGGAGGUGGAAUUCCGGGUGUAGUGGUGAAAUGCGUAGAUAUCCGGAGGAACACCGGUGGCGAAAGCGGCCUCCUGGGCUGCCCCUGACGCUCAGACGCGAAAGCUAGGGGAGCGAACGGG